This 279-nucleotide ribosomal RNA is filed under the name uncultured bacterium. Its description in RNAcentral is "partial 16S ribosomal RNA". It matches the Rfam family "Bacterial small subunit ribosomal RNA", at positions 506 to 784 of the family's 1533-position model. The record is from RNAcentral.
UGCCAGCCGCCGCGGUAAUACGGAGGGUGCAAGCGUUGUUCGGAAUUACUGGGCGUAAAGCGCGCGUAGGCGGCUUUUUAAGUCAGAUGUGAAAGUCCACGGCUCAACCGUGGAAGUGCAUUUGAAACUGGGAGGCUUGAGUAUUGGAGGGGGUGGUGGAAUUCCCGGUGUAGAGGUGAAAUUCGUAGAUAUCGGGAGGAAUACCGGUGGCGAAGGCGGCUCUCUGGAUUGUAACUGACGCUGAGGCGCGAAAGCGUGGGUAGCAAACAGGAUUAGAUA